This is a long non-coding RNA of Bicyclus anynana (squinting bush brown), 1200 nucleotides long. RefSeq lists it as uncharacterized. NCBI's taxonomy places the organism in Eukaryota, Metazoa, Arthropoda, Insecta, Lepidoptera, Nymphalidae. The record is from RefSeq and is a predicted model, not a curated record. The transcript has 2 exons.
UUUUAAUAAAAAAAAUUCAACCGACUUCCAACUCAAAAAAUAACUUUAACUAAAAAGCAAAAAAUAACAUCCUACCUAUGUGCUACCUUCUGAUCAGUUUGAAGGCGGUGCCAAGCCAGUGAUGUUUUAAUUAAAUACGUUUAAACUACAAAACUUCUGUGGUUAUUCCAGAAACAGCUUUAAUUAAAACACGACACUGGCUUGGCACCGCCUUCAAACUGAUCAGAAGGUAGCACAUAGGUAGGAUGUUAUUUUUUGCUUUUUAGUUAAAGUUAUUUUUUGAGUUGGAAGUCGGUUGAAUUUUUUUUAUUAAAAUUUUUAUUUUUUUAUUUUUAGUGUUAGCAUACCCACUGCGUGUCACUACCUAUCUAAGUGGAAAGUUCUUAUCAAUACAAAAUUAUCAAGUCCAAACACAAGGUAGCUACUGUGAGCCGUCGAGGAGUUCUCUUCAGUGUGCUUCGUCUUCAUCACCAGACCCUUAAUACAGUCGCAAUCCAUCUAGGUGGAAAGUUCUCAUCAAUACAAAUUUAUCAAGUCCAAACACAAGGUAGCUACUGUGAACCGUCGAGGAGUUCUCUUCACUGUCCCUCGUCUUCAUCAUCAGACCCUUAAUACAGUCACAAUCCACCUAGGUGGUAAGUUCUCAUCAAUACAAAUUUAUCAAGUCCAAACACAAGGUAGCUACUGUGAACCGUCGAGGAGUUCUCUUCACUGUCCCUCGUCUUCAUCAUCAGACCCUUAAUACAGUCACAAUCCACCUAGGUGGUAAGUUCUCAUCAAUACAAAUUUAUCAAGUCCAAACACAAGGUAGCUACUGUGAACCGUCGAGGAGUUCUCUUCACUGUCCCUCGUCUUCAUCACCAGACCCUUAAUACAGUCACAACCCAUAUAGGUGGAAAGUACUCAUCAAUACAAAUUAAUCAAGCCCAAACAAAAGGUGACUGCUGUAAAUCCUUGACGAGUUCCAUCGUCUGUGUUUCGGCUCCAUCAUCAGACCAACUCCAAACCUUCAUAAAGUUGUAGUGGUUUAAAAUACCUUAUGGAAACACUAACAAACGUACUAGCCGUCUCUACAACUUUCGAAAGUUCCCCUCAAUUUCUCCAGGAUGCCAUCAUCAGAUCCUGACAUGAAAAAAAUGGGACCACCCUGGAAGUAAACCCUACAAAACAAAAAAAGAAUUUUCAAAAUCGGUCCACAAU